GGCAAGGCGGCUGCUAUAAUGCAGUCGAGCGGACUAAUGGGAGCUUGCUCCCGUUAGUUAGCGGCGGACGGGUGAGUAACACGUGGGCAACCUACCUGUAAGACUGGGAUAACUUCGGGAAACCGGAGCUAAUACCGGAUGACAUAAAGGAACUCCUGUUCCUUUAUUGAAAGAUGGCCUCGGCUAUCACUUACAGAUGGGCCCGCGGCGCAUUAGCUAGUUGGUGAGGUAACGGCUCACCAAGGCGACGAUGCGUAGCCGACCUGAGAGGGUGAUCGGCCACACUGGGACUGAGACACGGCCCAGACUCCUACGGGAGGCAGCAGUAGGGAAUCUUCCGCAAUGGACGAAAGUCUGACGGAGCAACGCCGCGUGAGCGAUGAAGGCCUUCGGGUCGUAAAGCUCUGUUGUUAGGGAAGAAUAAGUGCUAGUUGAAUAAGCUGGCACCUUGACGGUACCUAACCAGAAAGCCACGGCUAACUACGUGCCAGCAGCCGCGGUAAUACGUAGGUGGCAAGCGUUGUCCGGAAUUAUUGGGCGUAAAGCGCGCGCAGGCGGUUUCUUAAGUCUGAUGUGAAAGCCCCCGGCUCAACCGGGGAGGGUCAUUGGAAACUGGGAAACUUGAGUGCAGAAGAGGAAAGUGGAAUUCCAAGUGUAGCGGUGAAAUGCGUAGAGAUUUGGAGGAACACCAGUGGCGAAGGCGACUUUCUGGUCUGUAACUGACGCUGAGGCGCGAAAGCGUGGGGAGCAAACAGGAUUAGAUACCCUGGUAGUCCACGCUGUAAACGAUGAGUGCUAAGUGUUAGAGGGUUUCCGCCCUUUAGUGCUGAAGUUAACGCAUUAAGCACUCCGCCUGGGGAGUACGGUCGCAAGACUGAAACUCAAAGGAAUUGACGGGGGCCCGCACAAGUGGUGGAGCAUGUGGUUUAAUUCGAAGCAACGCGAAGAACCCUUACCAGUCUUGACAUCCUCUGACAACCCUAGAGAUAGGCUUUCCCUUCGGGACAGAGUGACAGUGUGCAUGGUGUCGUCAGCUCGUGUCGUGAGAUGUUGGGUUAAGUCCCGCAACGAGCGCAACC
This 1079-nucleotide ribosomal RNA is filed under the name Gottfriedia acidiceleris. RNAcentral describes it as "bacterial SSU rRNA". It matches the Rfam family "Bacterial small subunit ribosomal RNA", at positions 38 to 1103 of the family's 1533-position model. Lineage: Bacteria; Bacillati; Bacillota; Bacilli; Caryophanales; Bacillaceae. The record is from RNAcentral.